This 422-nucleotide ribosomal RNA is filed under the name uncultured prokaryote. Its description in RNAcentral is "bacterial SSU rRNA". It matches the Rfam family "Bacterial small subunit ribosomal RNA", at positions 355 to 774 of the family's 1533-position model. The record is from RNAcentral.
UGAGGAAUAUUGGUCAAUGGGCGUAAGCCUGAACCAGCCAUCCCGCGUGAAGGAAGAAGGCGCUAUGCGUCGUAAACUUCUUUUCCAGGAGAAGAAAACCCCCGACGUGUCGGGGCUUGCCGGUAUCUUGGGAAUAAGCAUCGGCUAACUCCGUGCCAGCAGCCGCGGUAAUACGGAGGAUGCGAGCGUUAUCCGGAUUUAUUGGGUUUAAAGGGUGCGUAGGCGGAUUGAUAAGUCAGCGGUGAAAACCUUCAGCUUAACUGGAGAAUUGCCGUUGAUACUGUUAGUCUUGAGGAUGGUCAAGGUAGGCGGAAUGUGUAAUGUAGCGGUGAAAUGCUUAGAUAUUACACAGAACACCGAUUGCGAAGGCAGCUUACUGGGCCAUAACUGACGCUGAGGCACGAAAGCGUGGGGAGCGAACA